Molecule: unclassified non-coding RNA, 390 nt
Filed under: Hevea brasiliensis (rubber tree)
Lineage: Eukaryota; Viridiplantae; Streptophyta; Magnoliopsida; Malpighiales; Euphorbiaceae
Source: RNAcentral
CCGUCGCUCGCUCGAUAGGAAAUUGCGGUGCCUAGAAGAUCGAAGGAGCGCCGAGCAGUUGGAGAGUGUGAGAUGACAAUGGGAACACCGACGCAGGCAUACGGUGAGCCAUGUUACUGGGAUAACAGAUAUGCCAAUGAAUCAGGGCCCUUUGAUUGGUAUCAGAAGUAUGCUUCCUUGGCUCCCCUCAUCAAUCUCUACACCCCUCGCCACCACCAUCCUCGAAUCCUCGUCAUUGGAUGUGGCAACUCAGCGUUUAGCGAAGGAAUGGUAGACGAUGGAUACGAGGAUGUGGUAAACGUCGAUAUAUCCUCUGUGGUUAUUGAAGCUAUGAAGAAGAAGUACUCUAAUCGUCCUCAAUUGAAAUAUAUUCAAAUGGAUGUCCGAGAU